This 83-nucleotide transfer RNA is filed under the name Candidatus Pacearchaeota archaeon. RNAcentral describes it as "tRNA-Ser". It matches the Rfam family "tRNA". Rfam says of the family: Transfer RNA (tRNA) molecules are approximately 80 nucleotides in length. Their secondary structure includes four short double-helical elements and three loops (D, anti-codon, and T loops). Lineage: Archaea; Nanobdellati. The record is from RNAcentral.
GCCCAGAUGCCGGAGCGGUCUAACGGAACGGUCUCGAACACCGUGUCCUUCGGGACUCCCAGGUUCGAAUCCUGGUCUGGGCG